AAGCGGUGGAUGAUGUGGAUUAAUUCGAUGCAACGCGAAAACCUUACCUACCCUUGACAUGUCCGGAAUCCGAAGAGAUUUGGGAGUGCUCGCAAGAGAACCGGAACACAGGUGCUGCAUGGCUGUCGUCAGCUCGUGUCGUGAGAUGUUGGGUUAAGUCCCGCAACGAGCGCAACCCUUGCCAUUAGUUGCUACGAAAGGGCACUCUAAUGGGACUGCCGGUGACAAACCGGAGGAAGGUGGGGAUGACGUCAAGUCCUCAUGGCCCUUAUAGGUGGGGCUACACACGUCAUACAAUGGCCGGUACAGAGGGUAGCCAACCCGCGAGGGGGAGCCAAUCCCACAAAGCCGGUCGUAGUCCGGAUCGCAGUCUGCAACUCGACUGCGUGAAGUCGGAAUCGCUAGUAAUCGCGGAUCAGCAUGUCGCGGUGAAUACGUUCCCGGGUCUU
This 449-nucleotide ribosomal RNA is filed under the name uncultured Allobrachymonas sp. Its description in RNAcentral is "bacterial SSU rRNA". It matches the Rfam family "Bacterial small subunit ribosomal RNA", at positions 927 to 1382 of the family's 1533-position model. The record is from RNAcentral. Lineage: Bacteria; Pseudomonadati; Pseudomonadota; Betaproteobacteria; Burkholderiales; Comamonadaceae.